This 71-nucleotide transfer RNA is filed under the name Satyrvirus sp. Its description in RNAcentral is "tRNA-Cys". The record is from RNAcentral. Lineage: Varidnaviria; Bamfordvirae; Nucleocytoviricota; Megaviricetes; Imitervirales; Mimiviridae.
AGUCCUCACCAGAAAUCGAAUCUGGAUCCACAGCUCUGCAGGCUGGCGCUCUACCAUUGAGCUAUGAGGAC